Molecule: long non-coding RNA, 155 nt
Organism: Thalassophryne amazonica
Lineage: Eukaryota; Metazoa; Chordata; Actinopteri; Batrachoidiformes; Batrachoididae
Exons: 3
Source: RefSeq, a predicted model, not a curated record
CCCACCUCACAGUCAACAGUUGCUGAAAAAAAGCUCCUCCCAGCAGGGCAAUGUCCUUCACUCAUUCUUCUGAUUUUUGCUCCUAAUCUUGUGAUUAGGACUUGCAGACUUUCGCUUUUUAUUUUCACUUUUUUUGUGAACACACAACUCUUCAC